GAUGAACGCUGGCGGCGUGCCUAACACAUGCAAGUCGAACGAAGCACUGAGAGUUUGAGAUUUCGGUCAAGAACUUUCUUUGACUUAGUGGCGGACGGGUGAGUAAUGCGUGAGCAACCUGCCUUUCAGAGGGGGACAACAGUUGGAAACGACUGCUAAUACCGCAUGAUAUAUUCGGAUCGCAUGGUCUGGAUAUCAAAGAUUUAUCGCUGAAAGAUGGGCUCACGUCUGAUUAGUUAGUUGGUGAGGUAACGGCUCACCAAGACUGCGAUCAGUAGGGGUUCUGAGAGGAAGGUCCCCCACAUUGGAACUGAGACACGGUCCAAACUCCUACGGGAGGCAGCAGUGAGGAAUAUUGGUCAAUGGGCGAGAGCCUGAACCAGCCAAGUAGCGUGCGGGACGACGGCCCUAUGGGUUGUAAACCGCUUUUGAUUGGGAACAAAGAGCGCCACGUGUGGUGCGUUGCGUGUACCUUUCGAAUAAGCAUCGG
This 490-nucleotide ribosomal RNA is filed under the name uncultured bacterium. Its description in RNAcentral is "bacterial SSU rRNA". It matches the Rfam family "Bacterial small subunit ribosomal RNA", at positions 28 to 496 of the family's 1533-position model. The record is from RNAcentral.